GAAAUUUUACCUCGUUUGGCGGUCGAAAAAUCCUCUAGUGUGGCAGUGGGUGGCGGUGGCCGGUUCCUCCGGUGGCUGGGUCGUCUUCUCCGGCUAGGGUUCUGGCGGCUAGGGUUUGGGGUUGGAUGUGGAUGCGAUUAUUUAUAAUCUUCCCCUUUUAAUCUGAGCCAUCCAUCAUGAUUUAAUCUGGGCCAUCCGAUCGUGAUUAAAUUAGAAAUAAAUUUGGGCCGUCCAUCGCAAUGCGAUCUGGGCUAUUUGUGCAUGAUCAAAUAUGGACUGUCCGCACGCGUGAGAUCUGGGCCGUCCAU
RNAcentral lists this long non-coding RNA (308 nucleotides) under Carica papaya (papaya). Its description in RNAcentral is "long non-coding RNA (CPAP_LNC005376)". The record is from RNAcentral. Lineage: Eukaryota; Viridiplantae; Streptophyta; Magnoliopsida; Brassicales; Caricaceae.